ACCCUCAGUUGCAUUAUCAAAGGAUUUAGGGGUUUCGUUAAUAGCUACAAAAGAAGGAAAUUUUCUCGAAGCUGAGAGGAUUUUCUUGGGAGGUCCAAAAAGUGCAGGAAAAUUUUUUUAGUGUACCAAGAGAAGGGGAAGGAUGAGGAGGAGGAGAGAGCGUGACAAGAGUGUCUUCGAAUUUGGGUGGCUCCACCAGAUUGAGAAUGAGGCCAGGCCCUUUCUUGGUGGUGUGUAAGUGCUUCAGCAUCUUGACCUCCCCUACAGCCGUUCUCUGUAUCGCUGUUAACGUUUUCUCUGCCAUUCGAUCUUUCAAGGACGGAUAUGAUUGUAGGUUUUCAAUGGGAUAUUUCGGUGUUAUGAGGUUUUGAUUGCAGCUUUUGUGGUUCUAGCUGAGACAGAGUGGGAAUUCAUCAUCAAGUUCUGGAAGAUCCAGUGUACUUGUCCAAGAAUCAAUGGAUAUAUAAGGUUGAGUUAGCUAGUUAUGUAAAGCAGCUUUGUGCACAAACCUCUGAAUCAGCUAGUUAUGUAUGGCACGACAUUGGUCUUCCAACAAGUAGGAUGCUUGUUUGGUACAAGUCAACAUUCUCAGCUCCUCUUGGUAUUGAUCCAGUUGUGGUUGAUUUGAUGGGAUUGGGAAAAAGAGAAGCUUGGAUAAAUGUCAGAGCCUGGAAAAGUAUUGGCCAAAUUUUGAAGCCAAUGAAGAUGGUUGCAGUUAUAUUUGUAAUUAUCGU
Molecule: long non-coding RNA, 734 nt
Organism: Ziziphus jujuba (common jujube)
Lineage: Eukaryota; Viridiplantae; Streptophyta; Magnoliopsida; Rosales; Rhamnaceae
Exons: 4
Source: RefSeq, a predicted model, not a curated record